Molecule: long non-coding RNA, 391 nt
Filed under: Carica papaya (papaya)
Lineage: Eukaryota; Viridiplantae; Streptophyta; Magnoliopsida; Brassicales; Caricaceae
Description: long non-coding RNA (CPAP_LNC007542)
Source: RNAcentral
UACCUCUAUAUUUAAAAGCAUCAUAAAAAGCUUAAGGUUUAUAGACUUAGGCUUUACUGACAACUCAUCUCAUUGGACAAGUAAAAGAUAUUACGUUGCAAAUCUAAAGGUUUACCUAGAUAUAGCCCUUGUGAAUAGCCACUAAUGUUUUUUAUUCCUAGAAGCCUCAGUUCUAUAUGAACUUGUCGCCUUUUUUUAUCACAGUCCUUUAAUUAGUUCUACUUCAAGCUCUAAAAAGUUUGCCACAAUACCACUUAAGUUUAAAGAGGCUUGGUAGAGGGAUAACUCAUAAGCACUAGUGAUGGAAAAGCUUGGAAAACCUCAUUCCUCAACUCGAUUGUGCAUCACUAUUUUUAGAAAUUAAAAUGCACAAAAACAAAACUAACUAAAU